This 253-nucleotide ribosomal RNA is filed under the name uncultured bacterium. RNAcentral's name for it is "partial 16S ribosomal RNA". It matches the Rfam family "Bacterial small subunit ribosomal RNA", at positions 524 to 776 of the family's 1533-position model. The record is from RNAcentral.
UACGUAGGGGGCAAGCGUUGUCCGGAUUUAUUGGGCGUAAAGCGCGUGUAGGCGGCUGGGUAGGUCCGCUGUGAAAACUUGAGGCUCAACCUCAAGAGGUCGGUGGAAACCAUCCAGCUAGAGUCCGGAAGAGGAGAAUGGAAUUCCUGGUGUAGCGGUGAAAUGCGCAGAUAUCAGGAAGAACACCCGUGGCGAAGGCGGUUCUCUGGGACGGUACUGACGCUGAGACGCGAAAGCGUGGGGAGCGAACAGG